This 212-nucleotide ribosomal RNA is filed under the name Scapanea frontalis. RNAcentral describes it as "partial 28S ribosomal RNA". It matches the Rfam family "Eukaryotic large subunit ribosomal RNA", at positions 664 to 830 of the family's 3401-position model. Lineage: Eukaryota; Metazoa; Arthropoda; Insecta; Odonata; Libellulidae. The record is from RNAcentral.
GACCAAGGAGUUUAACAUGCGCGCGAGUCGUUGGGUCGGACACGNUCCGCUAAACCCAUAGGCGCAAUGAAAGUGAAGGUCGUCCUCGCGGGACCGAGGGAGGACGGAGGCGUCUCUCCGCGGGCGCCUCCCGCACUCCCGGGGCGUCUGAUUCCUCUCUUUGAGGGAAGGCGCACCCAGAGCGCACACGUUCCUCUCCGAAAGAUGGUGAA